AAGGCUUUAGCUUAAUAAAAGUGUCUGGUUUGCACUCAGAUGAUGUGGGUUAAUGUCCUGCAAGUCUUA
RNAcentral lists this transfer RNA (69 nucleotides) under Bathygobius coalitus (whitespotted frillgoby). RNAcentral's name for it is "tRNA-Ala". It matches the Rfam family "tRNA". From Rfam's summary of the family: Transfer RNA (tRNA) molecules are approximately 80 nucleotides in length. Their secondary structure includes four short double-helical elements and three loops (D, anti-codon, and T loops). The record is from RNAcentral. Lineage: Eukaryota; Metazoa; Chordata; Actinopteri; Gobiiformes; Gobiidae.